RNAcentral lists this transfer RNA (71 nucleotides) under Bacillus subtilis. Its description in RNAcentral is "tRNA-Ala". It matches the Rfam family "tRNA". From Rfam's summary of the family: Transfer RNA (tRNA) molecules are approximately 80 nucleotides in length. Their secondary structure includes four short double-helical elements and three loops (D, anti-codon, and T loops). Lineage: Bacteria; Bacillati; Bacillota; Bacilli; Caryophanales; Bacillaceae. The record is from RNAcentral.
GGCCAUAGCUCAGCUGGGAGAGCGCUACGCUGGCAGCGUAGAGGUCAGGGGUUCGAGCCCCCUUGGCUCCA